This 301-nucleotide ribosomal RNA is filed under the name uncultured bacterium. RNAcentral's name for it is "partial 16S ribosomal RNA". It matches the Rfam family "Bacterial small subunit ribosomal RNA", at positions 509 to 809 of the family's 1533-position model. The record is from RNAcentral.
CAGCAGCCGCGGGAAUACGAAGGGUGCAAGCGUUACUCGGAAUUACUGGGCGUAAAGCGUGCGUAGGUGGUUGUUUAAGUCUGCUGUGAAAGCCCUGGGCUCAACCUGGGAAUUGCAGUGGAUACUGGGCGACUAGAGUAAGGUAGAGGAUAGUGGAAUUUCCGGUGUAGCAGUGAAAUGCGUAGAGAUCGGAAGGAACAUCUGUGGCGAAGGCGACUAUCUGGGCCAUUACUGACACUGAGGCACGAAAGCGUGGGGAGCAAACAGGAUUAGAUACCCCUGUAGUCCCUGUCUCUUAUAA